RNAcentral lists this transfer RNA (76 nucleotides) under Campylobacterota bacterium. RNAcentral describes it as "tRNA-Trp". It matches the Rfam family "tRNA". Rfam says of the family: Transfer RNA (tRNA) molecules are approximately 80 nucleotides in length. Their secondary structure includes four short double-helical elements and three loops (D, anti-codon, and T loops). Further hydrogen bonds mediate the characteristic L-shaped molecular structure. tRNAs have two regions of fundamental functional importance: the anti-codon, which is responsible for specific mRNA codon recognition, and the 3' end, to which the tRNAs corresponding amino acid is attached (by aminoacyl-tRNA synthetases). tRNAs cope with the degeneracy of the genetic code in two manners: having more than one tRNA (with a specific anti-codon) for a particular amino acid; and 'wobble' base-pairing, i.e. permitting non-standard base-pairing at the 3rd anti-codon position. The record is from RNAcentral. Lineage: Bacteria; Pseudomonadati; Campylobacterota.
AGGGUAGUAGCUCCAACGGUAGAGCGGAUGAUUCCAAAUCAUUAGGUUGUGGGUUCGAAUCCUACCUACCCUGCCA